GCUGGCCUUGGUUGAUAGCACUGCUGGAGGUUUCAAUCCUAACUACAGCAAGAAUUUUUAUCGGAUGUACCAGGUUACAGGUUAUGGCGUAAAAGUUGGGGAGCGGUGAUGUCAUGUUGGAUGUUUUCCAGUACAUGCAAAACAAGGUGCGCCCACAUUUCCACUGUGUAUUCGCGGGAUGAUGCGCGCUUUACUUCAGGCGCGAUGGAGGUAAAAUGUAAAAAUACGAGGUGCUUGUGUAUAUGCGUAUGAAUGUUUACAUACAGCACGGCGCGUCAUGUAUCUCUUAUUCAUGAACGAACGACUGUAAAACAAUCCUUCCCCGUAUAAACCGCUAAGAUUCAAUAUUCUUGACAAUAUCGACGCGUUAGAAGGCAAAAACAACAACAAUAAGAAUCAUAACACGGGCUCGGGGAUCUCGGGACGGGUCCCGACGAUUAAAACCCGACUGUCCGGUAUAUUGAGGUGCAAAAGAAGCAAAUGAAAAUAAAAAAUAGGGGGUA
RNAcentral lists this small RNA (503 nucleotides) under Histoplasma ohiense. RNAcentral's name for it is "hypothetical lncRNA". The record is from RNAcentral. Lineage: Eukaryota; Fungi; Ascomycota; Eurotiomycetes; Onygenales; Ajellomycetaceae.